This 679-nucleotide long non-coding RNA is filed under the name Equus caballus (horse). RNAcentral describes it as "lncRNA (ENSECAG00000055514.1)". The record is from RNAcentral. Lineage: Eukaryota; Metazoa; Chordata; Mammalia; Perissodactyla; Equidae.
CUUUCCUGCCCAGAUUCACUAUGCAAAAAAAGAAAAAAUUACCAGAAUCAUCUGGGCAUCCCUGGUUAAUGGUCACCAAUUCCUUCCAAACGUGUAUCUCCCACAAGAAAAGACAAAUGGGGAAGAGCUUCCUACUGGAAAUUGAUUAAGAAGGCAAAGAACAUGCUGAAUCGUUGGCUGGAACUUGUCACUGGGAUUAGAGAGAGUGCCUUGUGUCUUUACCUACUCAGACAUUUACAGCACAAAUGGAACCUUAGGAAGAGGAGGAAGCAGCUUUGGUUGGAUAUAGUGAUCCUCGUGCUGAAGAGGACCCGCCACGGGCUUCAAGGUCUUACUUGGAAGAGGUUGUGGCAAUUUAUAAUUAUACAAAAGACAAGGAAGAUGAGCUAUCCUUUCAGGAAGAGCCAUUAUUUAUGUCAUCCAAAAGAAAACGAUGGUUGAUAUGAGGGAGUUCUGAUGCAGUGACUAGGCUCUUUCCUGCGAAUUAUGCUGAGUCUGUCAUGCAUUGUCCUGAGUAAAGCUCAGCAGGGGAUAAUCGGGUCUUCCAAGAUUGUUAAAAGGCCCUGGGGAUUCCCCCCCCCUGGUGAAAUGAAUGAAAGACACGAAUGAUGAAAACUACUUUUUUUUUUGGUUUAUCCCCCUGUAUCAAAACAAACAAAAAAGCAAGCGGAGUCUGAAC